GCUCCUGUGCAAGGCAAGCCAAUCAAAGUUAUAGUUGUCAACAUUGCACAUUCAGUCAACAGGCUGAAUGUAUGUUUGAACUCAACAUACCUGCAAUGCACAUUCAAGCUAAAGUAUAAUAUCUUCAUCACCAUCAAUAUGAUUAAUUAGUCUAAAUCCAACACAGAUCUAAUGAAGCUACAGAAAUCGUACAUGUGAACUAUUGAGUUCGUCCUCCCUGAAAAAUGUAAAAGUUGCACAACAUUUCAGGCCAAUCCUUCCAAUUAUUGUUGAGAUGUCAAAGUGAUGGAGCGGCCGACAACCCAACUUA
Molecule: long non-coding RNA, 310 nt
Organism: Labrus mixtus (cuckoo wrasse)
Lineage: Eukaryota; Metazoa; Chordata; Actinopteri; Labriformes; Labridae
Exons: 3
Source: RefSeq, a predicted model, not a curated record